Molecule: ribosomal RNA, 553 nt
Filed under: Borreliella burgdorferi (Lyme disease spirochete)
Lineage: Bacteria; Pseudomonadati; Spirochaetota; Spirochaetia; Spirochaetales; Borreliaceae
Description: bacterial SSU rRNA
Rfam family: Bacterial small subunit ribosomal RNA
Source: RNAcentral
GAUCCUGGCUUAGAACUAACGCUGGCAGUGCGUCUUAAGCAUGCAAGUCAAACGGGAUGUAGCAAUACAUCUAGUGGCGAACGGGUGAGUAACGCGUGGAUGAUCUACCUACGAGAUGGGGAUAACUAUUAGAAAUAGUAGCUAAUACCGAAUAAAGUCAAUUAAUUUGUUAAUUGAUGAAAGGAAGCCUUUAAAGCUUCGCUUGUAGAUGAGUCUGCGUCUUAUUAGCUAGUUGGUAGGGUAAAUGCCUACCAAGGCGAUGAUAAGUAACCGGCCUGAGAGGGUGAACGGUCACACUGGAACUGAGAUACGGUCCAGACUCCUACGGGAGGCAGCAGCUAAGAAUCUUCCGCAAUGGGCGAAAGCCUGACGGAGCGACACUGCGUGAAUGAAGAAGGUCGAAAGAUUGUAAAAUUCUUUUAUAAAUGAGGAAUAAGCUUUGUAGGAAAUGACAAAGUGAUGACGUUAAUUUAUGAAUAAGCCCCGGCUAAUUACGUGCCAGCAGCCGCGGUAAUACGUAAGGGGCGAGCGUUGUUCGGGAUUAUUGGGCGUA